Molecule: ribosomal RNA, 498 nt
Filed under: uncultured bacterium
Lineage: Bacteria
Description: partial 16S ribosomal RNA
Rfam family: Bacterial small subunit ribosomal RNA
Source: RNAcentral
GACGAACGCUGGCGGCGUGCCUAAUACAUGCAAGUCGAACGAGAGCAACCGGUGCUUGCACUGGUCAAUCUAGUGGCGAACGGGUGAGUAACACGUGGGUAACCUGCCCAUCAGAGGGGGAUAACAUCCGGAAACGGAUGCUAAAACCGCAUAGGUCUUCGAACCGCAUGGUUUGAAGAGGAAAAGAGGCGCAAGCUUCUGCUGAUGGAUGGACCCGCGGUGCAUUAGCUAGUUGGUGAGGUAACGGCUCACCAAGGCCGUGAUGCAUAGCCGACCUGAGAGGGUGAUCGGCCACAUUGGGACUGAGACACGGCCCAAACUCCUACGGGAGGCAGAAGUAGGGAAUCUUCCGCAAUGGACGCAAGUCUGACGGAGCAACGCCGCGUGAGUGAAGAAGGUUUUCGGAUCGUAAAACUCUGUUGUUAGAGAAGAACAAGUGCUAGAGUAACUGUUAGCGCCUUGACGGUAUCUAACCAGAAAGCCACGGCUAACUACGUG